This 431-nucleotide ribosomal RNA is filed under the name uncultured bacterium. Its description in RNAcentral is "partial 16S ribosomal RNA". It matches the Rfam family "Bacterial small subunit ribosomal RNA", at positions 29 to 507 of the family's 1533-position model. The record is from RNAcentral.
AACGAACGCUGGCGGCAGGCCUAACACAUGCAAGUCGAGCGCCCCGCCAGUGGAGCGGCGGACGUGUGAGUAACGCGUGGGAACGUACCCUUUGCUACGGAAUAGCCUCGGGAUACUUGGAGUAAUACCUUAUGUGUCCUUCGGUAGAAAGAUUUAUCGGCAAGGGAUCGGCCCGCGUUGGAUUCGGUAGUUGGUGGGGUAAUUGCCUACCAAUCCGAGGAUCCAUAGCUGGUUUGAGAGGAUGAUCAGCCACACUGGGACUGAGACACGGCCGAGAAUCCUACGGGAGGGAGGAGAGGGGAAUCUUAGACAAUGGGCGCAAGGCUGAACGAGCCAUGGCGGGUGAGCGAUGAAGGCCUUAGGGUUGUAAAGCUCUUUCAGGGGGGAAGAUAAUGACUGUACCCAAAGAAGAAGCACCGGCUAACUCCGUG